AUAACAAUUUGUGAUGCUUUAGGGAGCCUAUUGUUUGAUGGUUUAUAGGAGCCAGAUUUGUCUUUUUGACUAAUUUUCAACCUAUUCUUACUUCCAAAACUGUUGCAAUGGCUCUCGUUUUUGUUAAAUUUUUCUCUUUUCUCUUCUUUGGCAUAGUUUAUUUUUAAUAAAUUAUUUCAGGGUGAGAUAGAGAAAGAAUAAUGAGUAUCGUAGAUAAAUCUUCGGUUCCGAAUAGUGUAACUGUUGGUGCUGAGGUAAUCCAUCUUUAAAACCAUCGCCGUUAGAGGUUGCUUCUGAUAUUUUCGGUUAAGCGACCCAUGAAAUGGUGAUGACCUGAGGUAUGGAACAUUU
This 351-nucleotide small nucleolar RNA is filed under the name Saccharomyces cerevisiae YJM1389. RNAcentral's name for it is "SNR42". It matches the Rfam family "Small nucleolar RNA snR42". The record is from RNAcentral. Lineage: Eukaryota; Fungi; Ascomycota; Saccharomycetes; Saccharomycetales; Saccharomycetaceae. RNAcentral also lists the same sequence under 2 other names.